Molecule: ribosomal RNA, 662 nt
Filed under: Strongyloides sp. 1 BSG-2017
Lineage: Eukaryota; Metazoa; Nematoda; Chromadorea; Rhabditida; Strongyloididae
Description: LSU rRNA
Rfam family: Eukaryotic large subunit ribosomal RNA
Source: RNAcentral
GAAGGAAAGUUGCAAAGUACUCCGGAGAGAGAGUUAAAGAGGACGUGAAACCGAUACGAUGGAAGCAUACAGAGCCAGUUGCAAUAUUAUUAAAAAUAUUUUUAAUAAUUUUAAGCAUGGGUAUAUUGAUUAAUAAUUAAUUAUAUUAAUAAAGAGUGAUAAAAAUAUAUUUUUUGUUAACUUUAAUAAUAUAAUUAUUAUUAUUAAUUAAUAUUUUUAUUUAUUAAUUUAUAUUAAUAAUAAUAUAUAUAUUAUAUUUAUAUAUAAACACAUGUGUUAAAUAUAAAUUUUUUUUAAUAUAUAUAUUAUUAUUAUAUAUUAAUAUUCCUAUGUAAUCCUGGUAUGCUGUAUGUCCCGUCUUGAAACACGGACCAAGGAGUGUAUUACUAUGGCAAGUUAUUAAUAUUAUUAAUAUUAUAAACAUAAUGAAAAUAAAUAAUAUCUCAGAUCAUUAUUAUAUUAUAAUAAUGCGCAUGAGAGACGUAAAUAUAUGAUUUUAUUAUCAUUUUUUGCAGUUAUAGUCAUAGUAGUGCGACCCGAAAGAUGGUGAACUAUACUAGUGCAGGGUGAAGUCAGAAGAAAUUCUGAUGGAAGCUCGAAGCGGUCCUGACGUGCAAAUCGGUCGUCUGACAUUAGUAUAGGGGCGAAAGACUAAUCGAACC